CCGAACGAAGAAGUCGAACUCGACGCUGCGUCUCUUUGCGUGUUGGUUUUCCCAAUACAAAUCUCUCAGUUCGUGUCCGCGCUUUAGAAAACUGAAAACCCAAAGAAGCAGCAAUAUCACUCGCAGCAGCAGCGGCAGCAGCAAUAAAAUCAAAACACGUUUUACUCCCGCACAUUGAAAACGCAUUUCCCAACAAGGAUUUAAUUUCCAAUCAAAAAACCAUUUAAAUUGGUUUAUAAUUUCCGAAAAUAUUUGUGCUUGUGUUUUUUGAAUGAAAGUGUGUAACCAAAAAUAUGGAAAUUUCGCUCAUAAAUAUUGAUGUGUAUUAUUGAAUAUUUGUGUCUUUUACUUUGAAGCCGGUUUCGUUUCUGUGUCGAUAUUUUGCAUUAUUAAUUACAAUUUACGUUCAUCAAGUGGAAACAGUCAAACAAAUUGAGAGACAAUUCAGAGACAAAACAUGGAAAACUAUGUGUGAACGAUAAAAGGCUACUGAACUGGUUUUAACGCAUCUCGACGUGUUUGUUUGGUGGUAAUGUGAUCGGCGAUCUUCGGGAGCAAUUAGAAGACUAAACAAAAGGCACUGAAGGAGGACCAGGUCUGGCAGGGAUUGCUGUGGACUCCGUCGUCGUCGUUGUCGUUGUCGUCUCCCAUCGAUACUCCACCGAAACUCCUCCUCAUGUUGUCAGCUGCAGUUGGCUUCCUACGCCUCAUGUGUGUGCAUCCCAACUCCGCUCCCCGCCUCCGCCGAAUAUUUUAUGAUUUUUGAUUUAGUUUGAGAGUUGAUUGGUUUUUAGAGACGUCAAAAACGUUGACAUCGCUGACAUGGCGCGGGCGUUACUGCUCGAUUGCCAUGUCUUUAUUACAAUCAGCCGUCGGUUGGCUAAGGAGUUUCUCGAUUUAUAUGCUAAAGAGCUGAGUUGUGGGGAAUCGAAUUGACAGGCCCAGUGAACUUGACUCAAUCCGCGCUGACCCACUAAUACCGAAAAAAAAAAAUAAUAAUCACAGGGCCUAAUUCAAUUGCGGUUCAUUAAUCAAGCGGUGGGUAUAAUUAGGCCAGAGCUUAGCUAAGCGAAAU
This is an RNA transcript of Drosophila sechellia, 1075 nucleotides long. RefSeq lists it as uncharacterized. NCBI's taxonomy places the organism in Eukaryota, Metazoa, Arthropoda, Insecta, Diptera, Drosophilidae. The record is from RefSeq and is a predicted model, not a curated record. The transcript has 5 exons.